GAAGUGUGCAUGAGUCUCUUAAUAUCAUAGAAGUUUCAUAUAAAUUGGAACACAUUUCUAUUUUUCACAUUUUUGCUGUUUCCAUGGCAAUGGCAGCCAUUUUUUUAAUUCCAAAGUAAGGUGCAAAACUACACAUGGUGAUUAACAUUAUGUUAUAGUUCCAUCAACAUUGGUCCAUUCAGUUCCGAGAACUAAGCUGGACAAAAAGUGCGGAAUAAGAAUAAGAAAAAAGAAUCGUACAAUAACAAUAUGUCACCCGACCUCCGUCAGGGUGACAUAACUAGAUUUGUAAUUGCUAGCAAUAACGGAUGGCACCCUCGUACCCCCAUUGCCAGGCGAGCGACAGCCAUUUUGUAAAUUCCAAAGUCAAAGAGUGCGUCUACACCUGCAGGUUAUCCUUUUUGCAAAAUUUCAUUUAGUUUGGAGCAUUUUGAAAUUUUGAACAAUUUUGCUGUUUCCAUGGUUACGGCGGCCAUUUUGGAAAUUCCAACUUCAAAAUGCAACUCCGCACAUGACAGUCACUAUUCCUGUAAAGUUUCAUCCAGUUUGCAGCACAUAAUUUUUUUUUGGAAAUUUUGAACAUUUGUGCUGCAACCAUGGUUACAGUAGAUAAUUCCAAAAUUCUAAAAGCAGACAUCUCAUUGCCACAUGUCAUGUUAUAUAUCAAUACAGUUUCAUUAACUUUGGUGCACUACUCUCUGAGAAAAUGCAUAUUUUAUGCAUUUUUCCAUAGGGUCAAUGCAAAACUUGGCCCUAGUUUCCAUGACAACGGCGGCCAUUUUGAACUAUCAAAAUAUUGUCUUGACAUCUUGGCAUACUGGAGAACAUUUUCAUAAAGUUUCAUGUCUCUAGAAUAAAUUUAACAUUGAUGUUCUGGAAUGUUCUGUGAAAAUUCAAAAUUUUUACCUUUUUGCAUUGUUUCCAUGGUAACAACAGAUAUUUUGGAAAUUCCAACGCCAAAUUCCACAUCUUCCAAUGUUGCUCAUCGUUACUGUGAAGUUUCAUUAAGUUUUGAGCAUUUUGAUAUUUUUGAAAUUUUUGGUGUAGUUUCCAUGGCAACAUAGUAGUUCCAAUGAUUGCCAAAAGCAUACCAAAACCAGUAUAUAGUGGGCACCUACAUUGUAUUAAAAUAUAAUGAUUCUAAGUUUAAGCAUAACGUAAUAAUUCACCAAAACCAAAAUCUAGAUUUUUUCACAAUUGUGCAGUUUCCAUGGAAACGGCGGCCAUUAAAAAAAAUUCCAGAGUCAGAUGCACAACUUCACAUGGGUGUCCUCAUUAUGUUAUAGUGCCAACAUUAUUGGAUCACUCAAUUCUUAGAAACACGAUGGACAAAAUGUGUGGAAGAAUAAUAAAAAUAAGAAAAAAAAGAAACGUAGAAUAACAAUACGUCACCCCAACUCCGUUGAGGGUGCCAUAACUAGAAUU
This 1425-nucleotide long non-coding RNA is filed under the name Mytilus galloprovincialis (Mediterranean mussel). Lineage: Eukaryota; Metazoa; Mollusca; Bivalvia; Mytilida; Mytilidae. The record is from RNAcentral.